Molecule: non-coding RNA, 97 nt
Organism: Mycena latifolia
Lineage: Eukaryota; Fungi; Basidiomycota; Agaricomycetes; Agaricales; Mycenaceae
Source: the annotation of a GenBank genome assembly
GACCUGGUGGUGGAGUGGUUACCAUGCCUGCCGUACAUAAACCGAAUAUGUUCAUACUUUUAAGCAGGAGUCCCCCGUUCGAUUCGGGGUCAGGUCU